UUACUGGGCUUUAUAUCGCCAUGAAUAACGGGCGGAUCCAAACUAUGAAGAUAGUCGAUCCCCCUAGCUAUAUCAACCGCAAUACUAAACCUUUUAUUCCACUGCAUCAAUUCGGGGCACUUCCUCUGGAGAAGGGCGUCCUGUAAGUUGCCAUUAGGCAUGAGUUCAUAAAUCAGUAACAUCGUCCGAUGUUUGCGAUCCGAGGAGAAUCCAAGCGCCGCGACGAUAUACGGAGACUCGAGUUUCGAGGCAAAAAGGAGCUCGUUUUGGAACUCGCGCUCGCCCUGAAAAGAGCCCGACUCCAUGACUUUGACGGCUACCAGUUGCCCAUUUGGGAGAAUGCCGCGAAAUACUGCGCCGAACCCACCUUGGCCCAGGCGAAGGGAAGGGGAGAAUGAGUCGGUGGCGCGGUGGAGGGUAUUGUAAGAGAAACGAUGAGGUGGCUUAGAGUCAGAAGGGACAGUGCGCUUGCGGCUGAUUUUAC
RNAcentral lists this unclassified non-coding RNA (484 nucleotides) under Hevea brasiliensis (rubber tree). Lineage: Eukaryota; Viridiplantae; Streptophyta; Magnoliopsida; Malpighiales; Euphorbiaceae. The record is from RNAcentral.